This is a long non-coding RNA of Coregonus clupeaformis (lake whitefish), 254 nucleotides long. RefSeq lists it as uncharacterized. The record is from RefSeq and is a predicted model, not a curated record. The transcript is spliced from 3 exons. Lineage: Eukaryota; Metazoa; Chordata; Actinopteri; Salmoniformes; Salmonidae.
UCAAAAUGACUCUACAGCCAGAGUCUUCCGAACAGCCUUAGAAGGAGGCUAAAUGUCACAGCCACAGGCCCGCUCAUGGCUUUGAGCAAGAAAUUGUCUGUCAGGAGUUAAAUGGACUUGACAUGGGGAGAGUCAUUCUGGGAGGUUUUGAAAACUAAGGCUCCAUUUUGAGGAGCAUCAGGUACUGCUGGAAUGUCUACUAAUGCAACAUGGAUCACAGUAGCCCAGUAGAGAGAGCAAGAGCAAGCAGCAGC